AGUCUCUGCUCCUCGCCCUCGUUGUUUCUAAUUUUGUGAUUUCAUUUCCGAUUUUGUGAUUUAAUCUCUGCUUCCUUUAAUUCUCAAAAGUAGUAGUUGCUGCGUGUAUUGGCUUUGAUGUUUGUGCAAAGGAGUUGAAGAUUGACCAGCCUUGAAGUUUGGUAAAUGUGGUGAUUCAUAUCUUCAAAAUUUGCUUCAGCCAUAUCCAGUGAGUGA
Long non-coding RNA from Arachis duranensis, 216 nucleotides. RefSeq lists it as uncharacterized. The transcript has 3 exons. The record is from RefSeq and is a predicted model, not a curated record. Lineage: Eukaryota; Viridiplantae; Streptophyta; Magnoliopsida; Fabales; Fabaceae.